AGUGAACGCUGGCGGUAGGCCUAACACAUGCAAGUCGAACGGCAGCACAGUAAGAGCUUGCUCUUACGGGUGGCGAGUGGCGGACGGGUGAGGAAUACAUCGGAAUCUACUUUUUCGUGGGGGAUAACGUAGGGAAACUUACGCUAAUACCGCAUACGACCUACGGGUGAAAGCAGGGGAUCUUCGGACCUUGCGCGAUUGAAUGGGCCGAUGUCGGAUUAGCUAGUUGGCGGGGUAAAGGCCCACCAAGGUGACGAUCCGUAGCUGGUCUGAGAGGAUGAUCAGCCACACUGGAACUGAGACACGGUCCAGACUCCUACGGGAGGCAGCAGUGGGGAAUAUUGGACAAUGGGCGCAAGCCUGAUCCAGCCAUACCGCGUGGGUGAAGAAGGCCUUCGGGUUGUAAAGCCCUUUUGUUGGGAAAGAAAAGCAGCAGGUUAAUACCCCGCUGUUCUGACGGUACCCAAAGAAUAAGCACCGGCUAACUUCGUG
This 492-nucleotide ribosomal RNA is filed under the name uncultured bacterium. RNAcentral describes it as "partial 16S ribosomal RNA". It matches the Rfam family "Bacterial small subunit ribosomal RNA", at positions 29 to 507 of the family's 1533-position model. The record is from RNAcentral.